This 201-nucleotide non-coding RNA is filed under the name Algoriphagus machipongonensis. RNAcentral also lists the same sequence under 1 other name. Lineage: Bacteria; Pseudomonadati; Bacteroidota; Cytophagia; Cytophagales; Cyclobacteriaceae. The record is from RNAcentral.
UUCUUAUCUAGCGGAACAGGUCCACGAUGAAGAUCGAGGAUAAUAGGGAAUCGUGUGAAAAUCACGAACUGUCGCGCAACUGUAAGUAACAUACCAAAGACAAUCAUCCAUUGAGUGUCCACUGUCACGGUCCACAACGAGACGGGAAGGACGAUGAAAGUCGUUACAAGUCAGGAGACCUGCCUAUUCCGAUCUACCCAA